CAAGUCGUACGGCGUAGCAAUACACAGUGGCGAACGGGUGAGUAAUGAAUCGCUAAUGUACCCCGGACUCUGGGAUAGCUUUCCGAAAGGAAAGGUAAUACCAGAUGAGACCACGGAAAGGCAUCUUUCUGUGCUCAAAGGUCCGCCGGUCUGGGAGCAGGCGAUUUCGUAUCAGCUAGUUGGUGAGGUAACGGCUCACCAAGGCGACGACGCGUAGCCGGACUGAGAGGUUGGCCGGCCACAUUGGGACUGAGACACUGCCCAGACUCCUACGGGGGGCUGCAGUAACGAAUCUUCCGCAAUGCACGAAAGUGUGACGGAGCGACGCCGCGUGGAGGACGAAGUUCUUCGGAAUGUAAACUCCUGUCAGGGGAAAGAAAGUUCUGAUCUACCCCAGAGGAAGGGGCGGCUAACUCUGUGCCAGCAGCCGCGGUAAUACAGAGGCCCCAAGCGUUAGGCGGAAUCACUGGGCUUAAAGCGUGUGUAGGCGGACUUCUAAGUACCUUGUGAAAUCCCACGGCUUAACCGUGGAACUGCUUGGUAUACUGGUCGUCUUGAGCCACUUAGGGGUUACCGGAACAAAUGGUGGAGCGGUGAAAUGCGUAGAUAUCAUUUGGAACGCCAAUGGUGAAAACAGGUAACUGGGAGUGUGCUGACGCUGAGACACGAAAGCCAGGGGAGCGAACGGGAUUAGAUACCCCGGUAGUCCUGGCCCUAAACGAUGUCCACUAGAUCGUAGAACCUCUGACGGUUUUAUGGUCGAAGCAAAAGUGCUAAGUGGACCGCCUGGGAAGUACGGUCGCAAGGC
Molecule: ribosomal RNA, 808 nt
Filed under: uncultured bacterium
Lineage: Bacteria
Description: bacterial SSU rRNA
Rfam family: Bacterial small subunit ribosomal RNA
Source: RNAcentral